RNAcentral lists this unclassified non-coding RNA (200 nucleotides) under plant metagenome. Its description in RNAcentral is "partial contains small subunit ribosomal RNA, internal transcribed spacer 1, and 5.8S ribosomal RNA". The record is from RNAcentral.
UCUCCGUUGGUGAACCAGCGGAGGGAUCAUUAUCGAGUUUAUAACUCCCAAACCCUAUGUGAACUUACCACUUGUUGCUUCGGCGCGCGCUUCGGUGCCGCCGAGGACACUUAAACUCUUUGUUUUUAUAAGCAUUUCUGAGUGGCCGAAAGGCAAAAUACAAUGAAUCAAAACUUUCAACAACGGAUCUCUUGGUUCUG